UCUAAUAGAAAUUUGACACGUCAGCUCAAGCAAAUUUCGCACAAAAUCAUUCGUGGCCCAGCUUUGUAGUUGCUUAGCAUCUUUAAUUGUACUCAGUUUAUGUUUAAUCAUUUAAAGCUAAGUUAAUUAACAUCCAAAAGUAACCAUGGUUUGUAUUUAGUUAUCUAUUAAAUUUUUUUUUACAGAAGAUAUUUGUUCAUCUUUCAAUCUAAUCGGAACAAAAUCAUCUCUUCAUCUUCCAACCACCAUAGCCAACAUCUCAUCUUCCAACCACCGACAGUCUCAAAAGCACAACAACCGCUCUCCUCCGUACGACUGCGCCGCCAACCGUUCUCCUCCCUCCACCCUCGUUUUCACACCAUGACUCAAAUCACUCGCUUUCCCUCUUCUCUUUUCUUCCAGUUUAGAACCCUAAACUUUUCCCUCUUCUCUCGCUUUCACUCUUUUUCUAUUCUAUUUAAAUUAGAACCCUAAAUCUCAUUUGUCCUCCAACAACAACAACGUCUCUACACCUCUGAGCAGUUUGAAUAUCAAGGAGGCGGAGCGAGGAAGAAGAUGAAGAAGGAGGCGGAGCGAUGAAGAUGAAUGACAAUAAUAGUGGGUAUCAAGGAGAGUGAUCGGCGCAUUCUGAUGGUGUGGCAAUUUUUUCAAUGUACCAGGAUUUUGGAUUUUCCAAUGAAUUUGAAUAUUUCCUUGAUCAUUUUCAGGUGCUAGAAUUGAAGAGAGGUGAAAAGGGUCAACAAAGAAACCAAUAUAUCGGUCAAAAUAAACUUGGAUGGAAAUGGGAUUGCUGAUUCUAGUUCUAGAAUUCCCUUCCAUUAUCAUAUGCUUGAUCUUAGUAUUUUUGACUCAACCACACUAUUAUGUUCAUGUUACUUCUUACCUAUGAAGCACUAACAUAAACACUUGAGAUGACCCGGACACUAGAAAGUAAUAAAAAUUUAAGACAAAUGGAAGUCAUUGAAUGUAAUAACAUGUGUCGGUUUCAUGUCCAGUGACGAUGCCAACACGUGUCUAUUCGAUGAGUGUCAAUGCUCUAUAGUUUUUAGUAUAUCCCGUUCUUGCUAUUUGCUGCCUUUUAUAACAUAACAUGAGAUUUCAAUCACUACACACACAGUCCAAAGAUGAAUGUUGUAACUUGUAAGGUCCGAAAGUGUAUUAUUCCAUUGCGAUUUCUUGUUGUAGUAGAAUACCGAAAAUAGUAAUCAUGUAGUAGAUAGGUGCACGUGAGAUGAAUGAUGGACUUGUCUAUAGAAGAAUAAAUAGAAAGAGUUUAGGCUACCAAAUGGCCUAAAUAUCUAUUUUUAUUUGCUUCAUUUUAUUAAAAUAAUUUGCUACUGAUUUCAACACAAGGAGGUAGGGUCACAUGUGACAGUGUGAAUGUUUUUGCACUUUUAUGAAUCUUAGUCUGAUUUUCUGUAUAAUUGGGCUUCUUAAAUCUCUGUUUCCCUUCUUAUACUUCAUUUUCUGGUAUUUAACCUUACAACUCAAUAGAAGCUAUUUUUUUUAAUGUGCUCUAGAAGUUUGAUAAUAUGCUUGUUUGAAACAAAGAUGCAGUACCAUUUUAUCUUCCUCUUAUGUUCUUAAAAUUUAGAUUGUUUCUCCAAUGGUAUCUAAAACUGGUUGAUACCACUUUAUUCUGGAAAUUUGAAAUUGAACACUUUCAAAUGGUUGAAUUGCUAAUAUAUAGCCAUUACAACUUGAAUUUAAUAUUUAACGUUAGUUCUUUUUUUUUUUUUUUUACCAAAACUUUGGUUCUUUAGGUACUGGUGUAGCAGCUGAAGUGCAAAUGAUAUAUAGCACUUUAUAUGUAAAAUAAUAUGAAAGAACUAGGCAUUGGUGCUGGUUAUCCGUUGCAUCGAGUUAUUUUCUAGAUCAGUUAACUGACUUGGCAUUGAUUCUGUCAAGCUGAUAUAUAGCUAUGCAAUCGGGUUUAAUGUAGUUGCGAUUUGUGACAAAGCUCACUAGUGCUUAGUUUGUAUUCACUAGGCUUACAUUGUAAAUGGGUUUAUACCCAAACUUUUAUUGUAACCUAUUAUCUUCUACAAAUUGUAACUAUUAUAUAUUAAAUGAAAAAAUUUGCUUGAA
Molecule: long non-coding RNA, 2088 nt
Organism: Trifolium pratense (red clover)
Lineage: Eukaryota; Viridiplantae; Streptophyta; Magnoliopsida; Fabales; Fabaceae
Exons: 2
Source: RefSeq, a predicted model, not a curated record